CAGUGCUGGCCCUGUAGCUGAAGAUAUGUUCCAUUGGCAAGCGACCAUUAUGGGACCAUCUGAUAGUCCUUAUUCAGGAGGUGUUUUUCUUGUCAAUAUUCAUUUUCCUCCAGAUUAUCCUUUCAAGCCCCCCAAGGUUGCUUUUAGGACCAAAGUGUUUCACCCAAAUAUCAAUAGCAAUGGAAGCAUUUGUCUUGACAUCCUUAAAGAACAGUGGAGCCCUGCGCUUACGAUUUCCAAGGUACUGCUUUCCAUAUGCUCAUUGCUGACUGAUCCAAACCCAGACGACCCUCUUGUACCAGAGAUCGCGCACAUGUACAAGACCGACCGAACCAAAUAUGAAGCGAGUGCACGGAGCUGGACUCAGAAGUAUGCGAUGGGUUGAGGCGUUUGUGUUUUUGUAGCUUGAUGUUGAUGAUGGAUGAUGCUAGUGGUGGUAUCUUUGGCAUGGCAUCCUUCUGUAUUACCUCGUUUCUUCCAGUUAUUUGGGCUGUGUAGGUAUUUUAAAGCAAGAAAGAAACAAAAUAUGAAGAAAAAAAAAAAAAAAGGAAGUCUUAUGAUGUUUUUUCCCCUUUGUCACUGAUUUAUGAAUGAAAGAUGCAAGCAGGUUGUCUAAGGUUGUCAAAUUAACUGGAUUCAACAUUUCUCUUUGUGGGGAUUUGAUGCAAGCAGUUAUUUAUCUCAUAGAGAAGCAU
This 695-nucleotide unclassified non-coding RNA is filed under the name Hevea brasiliensis (rubber tree). The record is from RNAcentral. Lineage: Eukaryota; Viridiplantae; Streptophyta; Magnoliopsida; Malpighiales; Euphorbiaceae.